Quercus robur (English oak) is the source of this 1511-nucleotide long non-coding RNA. RefSeq lists it as uncharacterized. The transcript is spliced from 3 exons. NCBI's taxonomy places the organism in Eukaryota, Viridiplantae, Streptophyta, Magnoliopsida, Fagales, Fagaceae. The record is from RefSeq and is a predicted model, not a curated record.
GAGGUACACACAAUUUCUAGAGAGAGAUAAUUUUAAGAGAGAGAAAAGAAGUCUAGGGGUGAAGAACCUUGGGAGACACACUGCCCUCAGUUUCCAAAACCAGCAACUUGCAUGUCAGCAACCCCACUUGAAUUUGGAAUUCACUGAACCCAACCCAACCUCUACUCUCUCUCUCUCUCUGCUUAAUAAUAACAAUAGUAAUGAUAAUUAUUCAAAUACAGUGUAACAACCCAAGACUCAUCAAAAUUCAUCUUUUUUCAAAAGGAGGCUUUUGAAUAUAUAAGAGAUCUCUGAGAGGAAGAGUUUGGGAGGGGGGUUGAAAUUUAGGGGCUGAGAUGCAAAAAGUGGACAGGGGGGCUUCUCUAUCUUGUUGUCUAAUUUGGAAAUUUUCUUACCAUCACCACCACUACCACCACCACCAGCAACAAAAACAACAUCAAAGGUUUCACCAGCUCUUUCAACAUCACAGCUGGCUAAUUGGGGACGACGUCUCAUGGUUUGUGCAUUGAAGUGAAGUUGUAAUUCUUGUGGUACAGACAGAUACUUGUGGUAUUAAUUAGAAUUUGAAGAUGAUUGCAACAGCUUUUUCUUAAGACAGUUUGAAGUUGAGGUCCAAUUUGCAUUUUUAGUUAGUGAAGCUUGUAAGUCUUGAACUUGGAAUCAAAGCAGCAUUAGUAUCUAUAAAAGGAAAACAAACUACAUUGUGUUGUUGAAGUGGAAGGAUUACAAUCUCAGCAGAUUCUGUGAGUUCUUAGAUUAGAUUUGCAUAUAUAUUGAAGCUAAAAAUAUUUCCUAUUGCACGUGUGCACCAGCACAAUAACUAGUUUUGCGUGUUUUUGAGUUUUGAGGUUCUUGAAGUUUGGACAUUGCCCGAGAGAGGUGUCACUAAAUUGAAACCGUAGCAAAUCUCAACAAAUUGCAAUCUGCAUUGGUUCAAUCUGAUCUGGGGUGCUGGGAAUUGGGGCGGUUUGGUGACUUUUAAAUGAAUUUUGAACUUCCUGUGGUGAAUCGAAGAUUGUCGAAAGGUUUGAUUUAUUUGCAAGAUCAUUCUACAAGUUGCAGCAUUAUGGAUGUGAGAACAAGAAAGGUUUCUGCUACUCCUCUGGUUGAAGGAAAGAAAGUAGAAUAUCAUCAAAAUCAUCAUCAAGGAAAGAAUAUUGAAUUCCAACGCACUCUUUCACACGGUAAAGGAAGCAGCAGAAGAUUGUUGCCGGCAAAUUAUUUCAGCUUGGAGUCAUUGCUUUUACUAGUUUGCCUAACAGUGUCUUUGCUGAUCCUUCCUUUGAUACUUCCACCAUUGCCUCCACCACCUUUCAUGUUGCUGCUGCUUCCUAUUGGGAUUCUAGCAGUGCUGAUGGUUUUAGCUUUCAUGCCUUCUAAUGUGAGGGAUAUAACUUAUACUUAUGUGUAAAUGCUGUUAUAAACAUGCACAUCGCACCUCUUUCUUCUUACAAAUUUUGUAAUUCUCUUAAUGUUCAAAAGAAAAAGAUAAACGGUUCUUUCAUUUCUUA